This 496-nucleotide ribosomal RNA is filed under the name uncultured bacterium. RNAcentral describes it as "partial 16S ribosomal RNA". It matches the Rfam family "Bacterial small subunit ribosomal RNA", at positions 28 to 506 of the family's 1533-position model. The record is from RNAcentral.
GAUGAACGCUGGCGGCGUGCCUAAUACAUGCAAGUCGAGCGAACGGACGAGAAGCUUGCUUCUCUGAUGUUAGCGGCGGACGGGUGAGUAACACGUGGAUAACCUACCUAUAAGACUGGGAUAACUUCGGGAAACCGGAGCUAAUACCGGAUAAUAUUUUGAACCGCAUGGUUCAAAAGUGAAAGACGGUCUUGCUGUCACUUAUAGAUGGAUCCGCGCUGCAUUAGCUAGUUGGUAAGGUAACGGCUUACCAAGGCAACGAUGCAUAGCCGACCUGAGAGGGGGAUCGGCCCACCUGGAACUGAACCACGGGCCAGCCUCCUACGGGGGGAAGCAGGAGGGAAUCUUCCGCAAGGGGGGAAAGCCUGACGGAGCAACGCCGGGGGAGUGAUGAAGGUCUUCGGAUCGUAAAACUCUGUUUUUGGGGAAGAACAUAUGUGUAAGUAACUGGGCACAUUUUGACGGUACCUAAACAAAAAGCCACGGCAAACUACGU